RNAcentral lists this ribosomal RNA (807 nucleotides) under uncultured bacterium. Its description in RNAcentral is "bacterial SSU rRNA". It matches the Rfam family "Bacterial small subunit ribosomal RNA", at positions 670 to 1482 of the family's 1533-position model. The record is from RNAcentral.
CGCGUGUAGCAGUGAAAUGCGUAGAUAUGCGGAGGAACACCGAUGGCGAAGGCAAUCCCCUGGGCCUGCACUGACGCUCAUGCACGAAAGCGUGGGGAGCAAACAGGAUUAGAUACCCUGGUAGUCCACGCCCUAAACGAUGUCAACUGGUUGUUGGGAGGGUUUCUUCUCAGUAACGUAGCUAACGCGUGAAGUUGACCGCCUGGGGAGUACGGCCGCAAGGUUGAAACUCAAAGGGAUUGACGGGGACCCGCACAAGCGGUGGAUGAUGUGGUUUAAUUCGAUGCAACGCGAAAAACCUUACCUACCCUUGACAUGUCUGGAAUCCUGAAGAGAUUUGGGAGUGCUCGAAAGAGAACCAGAACACAGGUGCUGCAUGGCCGUCGUCAGCUCGUGUCGUGAGAUGUUGGGUUAAGUCCCGCAACGAGCGCAACCCUUGUCAUUAGUUGCUACGAAAGGGCACUCUAAUGAGACUGCCGGUGACAAACCGGAGGAAGGUGGGGAUGACGUCAGGUCAUCAUGGCCCUUAUGGGUAGGGCUACACACGUCAUACAAUGGCCGGGACAGAGGGCUGCCAACCCGCGAGGGGGAGCUAAUCCCAGAAACCCGGUCGUAGUCCGGAUCGUAGUCUGCAACUCGACUGCGUGAAGUCGGAAUCGCUAGUAAUCGCGGAUCAGCUUGCCGCGGUGAAUACGUUCCCGGGUCUUGUACACACCGCCCGUCACACCAUGGGAGCGGGUUCUGCCAGAAGUAGUUAGCCUAACCGCAAGGAGGGCGAUUACCACGGCAGGGUUCGUGACUGGGGUG